This is a long non-coding RNA of Pollicipes pollicipes, 381 nucleotides long. RefSeq lists it as uncharacterized. The record is from RefSeq and is a predicted model, not a curated record. The transcript is spliced from 3 exons. NCBI's taxonomy places the organism in Eukaryota, Metazoa, Arthropoda, Thecostraca, Pollicipedomorpha, Pollicipedidae.
CAUAAUUACAUUUCAAACGCAGCCGCGACAAAAUAUUGUGACUUCAAUGCGGUCUCUCGUGCGAGGCUUUCGUGUCUUCUCGCACGGGGGCGUUUUUUCUGCUGAUGGGGGCUUAAAGGGCGAUAAAGCGUCGUGAUAUCCCGUACUUACAUGCGUUAGCUGGUGAACGGCAGAUGUCAGCUCCGAGUGGAACUCAGAUGCGUGGGCUGUAUCGCGGCCUGCUUCGCUACGGCCAGACUCUGCAGCUCACUGACAAGGGCUACUUCUAUCGGAGGGUGCGCAGCGAGUUUGACAAGUCCCGGCACGUCGAAAGCACAGAGCAGCGACGCUUCCUGUUUGAGAAGGGCCACUCCGUGCUGAGCCGGCGCCGGCUGGUCUGAG